CGGAAUUACUGGGCGUAAAGCGUGCGCAGGCGGUUUUGUAAGACAGUGGUGAAAUCCCCGGGCUCAACCUGGGAACUGCCAUUGUGACUGCAAGGCUAGAGUGCGGCAGAGGGGGAUGGAAUUCCGCGUGUAGCAGUGAAAUGCGUAGAUAUGCGGAGGAACACCGAUGGCGAAGGCAAUCCCCUGGGCCUGCACUGACGCUCAUGCACGAAAGCGUGGGGAGCAAACAGGAUUAGAUACCCUGGUAGUCAAGGGCG
Molecule: ribosomal RNA, 257 nt
Filed under: uncultured Burkholderiales bacterium
Lineage: Bacteria; Pseudomonadati; Pseudomonadota; Betaproteobacteria; Burkholderiales
Description: partial 16S ribosomal RNA
Rfam family: Bacterial small subunit ribosomal RNA
Source: RNAcentral